UUGGAAGACAGCCAACUGCUGGUGUAUUGC
This 30-nucleotide non-coding RNA is filed under the name Mus musculus (house mouse). Lineage: Eukaryota; Metazoa; Chordata; Mammalia; Rodentia; Muridae. The record is from RNAcentral.